Molecule: long non-coding RNA, 597 nt
Filed under: Gallus gallus (chicken)
Lineage: Eukaryota; Metazoa; Chordata; Aves; Galliformes; Phasianidae
Description: long non-coding RNA NONGGAT001350
Source: RNAcentral
UUUGGGGGCUCUGGACGUGGUUUCAGGUAAGCACUGCACUGGGCAUUACCAACUAACAAGGAAGUGCUGGCUCCCCUAUCAGCAUCAUGCUUAAAAUCCAGUGUGAUGGCUGGGACGUGUGGGAUCUGUGCUGGUCAAGUACAGACGGAGACCAAAGGGUGAAACCUGUCUCUCCUUUUCUGGUUAUGGGUUUUCUGUUCCUCCUGCAUUUCAGGAGUGCCCCAAAAUGCAAGAUGGAACUAGCAGGAACUGCUCAGUGAUGUCACAGGUGGUGGUGGUGUUGCCAGAUGUUGCCCGAGGGCUGUAUUGUUCCUCUCUGGAUGCUGCUUCAAAGAAAAUAGAGCUCUGGCUUCUCCAAAGGCUUCUCUGUGCUACUGAUUCCUUGCUUUUUGCAAAUUAAUUGACCUCAGUUUCAAAGCAGAAGAUUGAAGCACUGAAAAGGUUGACAUUGGAAAAACCUUUUUCUCCUCAGCUCACUGUGAUGAAAUAGGCUUCAUCCUGCACUGGUGUUUCCUGUACCAAUUCACAUAACAAUGUGAGAUUGUUCAAACAAAGUGGUCUCUCUUGUUUCUGUUUCCCUUGUUCAGGAAGGGUUCC